Molecule: long non-coding RNA, 750 nt
Organism: Panicum virgatum (switchgrass)
Lineage: Eukaryota; Viridiplantae; Streptophyta; Magnoliopsida; Poales; Poaceae
Exons: 3
Source: RefSeq, a predicted model, not a curated record
AAGCGCCUACAGCGCGCGUCGUCCUCCAUCGCCCACGGUUCGAAUCCCCCUCUUCUCUCCUUCUCCCCUGUUUCUCUUUUUCUCCCUCAGAUCCGGCGCUCCUCCUUGCCACAGCACGCGGCGGCGCUCCACCUCGCCGCCGCCGGCCCCUCCCUUCCCUGACCGUCGUCGGCCCCCCUUCCUCGACGUGUUGCCGGCCCAAGCGGCCGGCGCGGGCGAGCGAGGCUGGCACAUGCGAGUGGCGCUAGCCACAGCGCGCGGCAGCACUCGGCACGGGCAAGGGCGGCGCGGCGAGCGAGGCCAUGGCGGCCUGCACUGUUGGUUUAUCAUCUCGCCUAGAUGACUCGAUGGCCGCCGCCGGCGCGCCAGCGCAACGAAGGAAGGAAGAUCACAGGCCCUGCGAUCUUCACAGCUACCUGCGGCUCGCAACCGAAAGGACAAAAAGAGGUGCCGCGCAUGGAAGGAUCAAUGUUUCCUCCAUCAAUACGUGCGACUGGGAGCGCGGAGGACCGGCGGAAAUUUAACUCAGUUUGCCCCUGGUUUUGGGCGUGCAGGAGUUUUGGGAUGUUGAUUGGGCAACUGUUGGAGACAGAUUUUUUGUAUUUAGUGCUAAAACUAGAUUUUCACAAUUUGUUUUGGGCACUCUUGGAGAUGCUCCUUCCUCCAUGCAUUGUUUUGGAAAGAUCAGCUUGAUUGAUUGAAACCCUUCGAUUUCCAAUUUUAUCUAAUGUGUCAUAUGUGCAAGGUGUU